AUUAGCUAGUUGGUGAGGUAACGGCUCACCAAGGCGACGAUGCGUAGCCGACCUGAGAGGGUGAACGGCCACACUGGGACUGAGACACGGCCCAGACUCCUACGGGAGGCAGCAGUAGGGAAUCUUCCGCAAUGGGCGAAAGCCUGACGGAGCAAUGCCGCGUGAGUGAUGAAGGUUUUCGGAUCGUAAAGCUCUGU
This 197-nucleotide ribosomal RNA is filed under the name uncultured Paenibacillus sp. RNAcentral describes it as "partial 16S ribosomal RNA". It matches the Rfam family "Bacterial small subunit ribosomal RNA", at positions 240 to 436 of the family's 1533-position model. Lineage: Bacteria; Bacillati; Bacillota; Bacilli; Caryophanales; Paenibacillaceae. The record is from RNAcentral.